This 724-nucleotide ribosomal RNA is filed under the name uncultured bacterium. RNAcentral describes it as "bacterial SSU rRNA". It matches the Rfam family "Bacterial small subunit ribosomal RNA", at positions 777 to 1500 of the family's 1533-position model. The record is from RNAcentral.
AUUAGAUACCCUGGUAGUCCAUGCCGUAAACGAUGAGUGCUAGGUGUUGGAGGGUUUCCGCCCUUCAGUGCCGGAGCUAACGCAUUAAGCACUCCGCCUGGGGAGUACGACCGCAAGGUUGAAACUCAAAGGAAUUGACGGGGGCCCGCACAAGCGGUGGAGCAUGUGGUUUAAUUCGAAGCUACGCGAAGAACCUUACCAGGUCUUGACAUCUUGCGCUAACCUUAGAGAUAAGGCGUUCCCUUCGGGGACGCAAUGACAGGUGGUGCAUGGUCGUCGUCAGCUCGUGUCGUGAGAUGUUGGGUUAAGUCCCGCAACGAGCGCAACCCUUGCCCUUAGUAGCCAGCGAGAGAGACGGGCACUCUAGGGGGACUGCCGGGGACAACCCGGAGGAAGGCGGGGACGACGUCAAAUCAUCAUGCCCCAUAUGGCCAGGGCUACACACGUGCUACAAUGGCGCGCACAGAGGGAGGCGAAGCGGCGACGCGGAGCGAAGCCCGGAAAGCGCGCCCCAGUUCGGAUUGCAGCCUGCAACUCGGCUGCAUGAAGCCGGAAUCGCUAGUAAUCGCGGAUCAGAACGCCGCGGUGAAUACGUUCCCGGGUCUUGUACACACCGCCCGUCACACCAUGGGAGUCGGGAACGCCCGAAGUCGGUGCCCCAACCGUAAGGAGGGAGCCGCCGAAGGCGGGCCCGGCGACUGGGGUGAAGUCGUAACAAGGUACC